This 167-nucleotide microRNA precursor is filed under the name Pelobates cultripes (western spadefoot toad). Lineage: Eukaryota; Metazoa; Chordata; Amphibia; Anura; Pelobatidae. The record is from RNAcentral.
GUGGUAAGCACUGCAGGGGGAGGGCUCCAGGAAGUAGCUCCCCUGUCCUCCCGCGCAAUGCUGUGUGGAGCGUUGCCAUGGUAACGCGCGGCAACGCUCCACACAGCAUCGCGCGGGAGGACAGGGGAGCUGCUUCCUGGAGCCCUCCCCCUGCCUCCCGACCCGGA